RNAcentral lists this ribosomal RNA (636 nucleotides) under uncultured bacterium. Its description in RNAcentral is "bacterial SSU rRNA". The stretch from base 1 to 545 matches the Rfam family "Bacterial small subunit ribosomal RNA", at positions 338 to 873 of the family's 1533-position model. The record is from RNAcentral.
CCUACGGGAGGCAGCAGUGGGGUAAUUUUGGACAAUGGGGGCAACCCUGAUCCAGCAAUGCCGCGUGAGUGAAGAAGGCCUUCGGGUUGUAAAGCUCUUUUGUCAGGGAAGAAACGGUGCGAGCUAAUAUCUCGUGCUAAUGACGGUACCUGAAGAAUAAGCACCGGCUAACUACGUGCCAGCAGCCGCGGUAAUACGUAGGGUGCAAGCGUUAAUCGGAAUUACUGGGCGUAAAGCGUGCGCAGGCGGUUUUGAAGACUGUCGUGAAAUCCCCGGGCUCAACCUGGGAAUGGCGAUGGUGACUGCAAGGCUAGAGUUUGGCAGAGGGGGGUAGAAUUCCACGUGUAGCAGUGAAAUGCGUAGAUAUGUGGAGGAACACCGAUGGCGAAGGCAGCCCCCUGGGUCAAAACUGACGCUCAUGCACGAAAGCGUGGGGAGCAAACAGGAUUAGAUACCCUGGUACGUCCACGCCCUAAACGAUGUCUACUAGUUGUCGGUUUUAAUUACGUUGGUAACGCGUAGUACUACGACGUGAGUAGACCGCCGUGGGAGGUACGGUCGCGAAGUAGUUAAACGUUACGUUAAGUAGUUAAGUUAGUAGGCGNGAGAGNGCGACGGACGACGACGAGGAGGAGG